GACGAACCGUGCGAACGUUAUUCGGAAUCACUGGGCUUAAAGCGCGUGUAGGCGGGAAGGCACGUCGGUCGGUGAAAUCCCCCGGCUCAACCGGGGAAGUGGCGCCGAUACGACCUUCCUGGAGGGACGUAGGGGGACCUGGAACUUCCGGUGGAGCGGUGAAAUGCGUUGAGAUCGGAAGGAACGCCCGUGGCGAAAGCGAGGUCCUGGACGUUUUCUGACGCUGAGACGCGAAAGCCAGGGGAGCGAACGGG
This 254-nucleotide ribosomal RNA is filed under the name uncultured bacterium. RNAcentral describes it as "partial 16S ribosomal RNA". It matches the Rfam family "Bacterial small subunit ribosomal RNA", at positions 524 to 776 of the family's 1533-position model. The record is from RNAcentral.